RNAcentral lists this ribosomal RNA (497 nucleotides) under uncultured bacterium. RNAcentral describes it as "partial 16S ribosomal RNA". It matches the Rfam family "Bacterial small subunit ribosomal RNA", at positions 28 to 507 of the family's 1533-position model. The record is from RNAcentral.
GAUGAACGCUGGCGGCGUGCCUAAUACAUGCAAGUCGAGCGAACGGACGAGAAGCUUGCUUCUCUGAUGUUAGCGGCGGACGGGUGAGUAACACGUGGAUAACCUACCUAUAAGACUGGGAUAACUUCGAGAAACCGGAGCUAAUACCGGAUAAUAUUUUGAACCGCAUGGUUCAAAAGUGAAAGACGGUCUUGCUGUCACUUAUAGAUGGAUCCGCGCUGCAUUAGCUAGUUGGUAAGGUAACGGCUUACCAAGGCAACGAUGCAUAGCCGACCUGAGAGGGUGAUCGGCCACACUGGAACUGGGACACGGUCCAGACUCCUACGGGAGGCAGCAGUAGGGAAUCUUCCGCAAUGGGCGAAAGCCUGACGGAGCAACGCCGCGUGAGUGAUGAAGGUCUUCGGAUCGUAAAACUCUGUUAUUAGGGAAGAACAUAUGUGUAAGUAACUGUGCACAUCUUGACGGUACCUAAUCAGAAAGCCACGGCUAACUACGUG